GACGAACGCUGGCGGCGUGCUUAACACAUGCAAGUCGAACGGAAAGGCCCUGCUUUUGUGGGGUGCUCGAGUGGCGAACGGGUGAGUAUCACGUGAGUAACCUGCCCUUGACUUUGGGAUAACUUCAGGAAACUGGGGCUAAUACCGGAUAGGAGCUCCUGCUGCAUGGUGGGGGUUGGAAAGUUUCGGCGGUUGGGGAUGGACUCGCGGCUUAUCAGCUUGUUGGUGGGGUGGUGGCUUACCAAGGCUUUGACGGGUAGCCGGCCUGAGAGGGUGACCGGCCACAUUGGGACUGAGGUACGGCCCAGACUGCUACUGGAGGCAGCAGUGGAGAAUAUUGCACGAUGGGCGGAAGCCUGAUGCAGCAACGCCGCGUGCGGGAUGACGGCCUUCGGGUUGUAAACCGCUUUCGCCUGUGACGAAGCGUGAGUGACGGUAAUGGGUAAAGAAGCACCGGCUAACUACGUG
Molecule: ribosomal RNA, 468 nt
Filed under: uncultured bacterium
Lineage: Bacteria
Description: partial 16S ribosomal RNA
Rfam family: Bacterial small subunit ribosomal RNA
Source: RNAcentral